AAAAUGCGAUAAGUAGUGUGAAUUGCAGACUUUUAGCGAAUCAUCGAAUCUUUGAACGCACAUUGCGCCCCUUGGUAUUCCAUUGGGCAUGCCUGUUCGAGCGUUAUAUGCACUCUCAAGCUCCGCUUGGUGUUGGGCGUCUGUUCGUGUGGUUAGCUCCUGCGCGGACUCGCCUUAAAGAUUUUGGCCGUGGCCGCAUCGGCUCCUUGCGCAGCACAUUUGCAUCGCGUGGAGUUCCCUGACGGGCGCGUGUCCUAGCAUGCAACCUCUCGUAGAUGGACCUCGAAUCAGGUAGGGAUACCCGCUGAACUUAA
This 314-nucleotide unclassified non-coding RNA is filed under the name uncultured Dothideomycetes. RNAcentral describes it as "sequence contains ITS1". The stretch from base 1 to 106 matches the Rfam family "5.8S ribosomal RNA", at positions 50 to 154 of the family's 154-position model. The record is from RNAcentral. Lineage: Eukaryota; Fungi; Ascomycota; Dothideomycetes.